CUUGAAUACCUAUAAGAGGUCCAGCCUGCCCAGUGACUUUGUUCAACGGCCGCGGUAUCCUAACCGUGCGAAGGUAGCGUAAUCACUUGUCUUUUAAAUGAGGACUUGUAUGAAUGGCAUCACGAGGGUUAUACUGUCUCCUUUCUCUAAUCAGUGAAACUAAUCUUCCCGUGAAGAAGCGGGGAUAAAUAUAUAAGACGAGAAGACCCUAUGGAGCUUUAAACUUAAUAACAAAUACUAACCUUACUUCAACUUCCAGAACAUUAAUCUUAAUUUUAGUAUCAUGUUUAUUAGUUUUAGGUUGGGGUGACCGCGGAGUAAAAAUUAACCUCCAUAUUGAAUAGGACUUGUCCUUGAGCUAAGAACUACAGCCCUAAGCACCAAUAAAUUGACAUUAAUUGACCCAAUAUUUUGAUCAACGAAC
RNAcentral lists this ribosomal RNA (424 nucleotides) under Osteocephalus leprieurii group sp. ABGD cluster 10. RNAcentral's name for it is "partial large subunit ribosomal RNA". It matches the Rfam family "Bacterial large subunit ribosomal RNA", at positions 1834 to 2439 of the family's 2925-position model. Lineage: Eukaryota; Metazoa; Chordata; Amphibia; Anura; Hylidae. The record is from RNAcentral.